RNAcentral lists this ribosomal RNA (494 nucleotides) under Scinax perpusillus (Bandeirantes snouted treefrog). Its description in RNAcentral is "partial 12S ribosomal RNA". It matches the Rfam family "Bacterial small subunit ribosomal RNA", at positions 793 to 1522 of the family's 1533-position model. Lineage: Eukaryota; Metazoa; Chordata; Amphibia; Anura; Hylidae. The record is from RNAcentral.
UGCCUAGCCGUAAACCAUAACUUACACUCAAAUCGCCAGGGAAUUACGAGCUAAAAGCUUAAAACCCAAAGGACUUGACGGUACCCCACAUCCCCCUAGAGGAGCCUGUUCUAUAAUCGAUAAUCCACGUUUAACCUCACCACUUUUAGCUUAUCAGCCUGUAUACCUCCGUCGUCAGCUUACCACGUGAGCGACCAAUAGUGAGCUUAAUGUCCGCCCGUCAAAACGUCAGGUCAAGGUGCAGCUUAUAAAGUGGGAAGAGAUGGGCUACACUCUCUAAUUUAGAAAAUACGAAAGACUAUUUAUGAAAUUUAGUCGGAAGGCGGAUUUAGAAGUAAAAAGAGACAAGAACACUCUUUUUAACCCGGCACUGGGGUGUGUACACACCGCCCGUCACCCUCCUCAAAGCCGAUAAAGCAGUAUCUAACUCAUUUAAGCUAAAUAGAAGAGGCAAGUCGUAACAUGGUAAGCGCACCGGAAGGUGUGCUUGGAAA